GCAGUGCCCUGGCUCUGUCGCUGGUGUAGCAAUACACGAGAGGAAAGUCCGGGCAGCAUAGGGCUCCCCACUUGCUAAAAUACAAGUAGUCAGUGAUGAUUAGCUAAGGCAGAAGAAAAUAACCGCCCCCCAUUUUUACUUUUCAUACGCAUAGGGGGUAAGGGUGAGAAGGUGGUGUAAGAGACCACCAGGCAUUUGGUGACAAGUGUGCUGUGUCUGCUGGGGGCUGCAAGUUCAAGUAUACCAUCGUCAUGUUUAGGGUUGCCCGCCCGAAAGUUUAGCUUACGAUGGAGGGUAGAAUGCUUAAGCCGUAUGGUGACAUACGGAUUAGAUAAAUGACAGGCACCACCUUAGGGUGGCACAGAACCCGGCUUAUAGGGGCACUGCUUUU
RNAcentral lists this RNase P RNA (391 nucleotides) under Prevotella sp. RNAcentral describes it as "RNase P RNA component class A". It matches the Rfam family "Bacterial RNase P class A". Rfam says of the family: Ribonuclease P (RNase P) is a ubiquitous endoribonuclease, found in archaea, bacteria and eukarya as well as chloroplasts and mitochondria. Its best characterised activity is the generation of mature 5'-ends of tRNAs by cleaving the 5'-leader elements of precursor-tRNAs. Cellular RNase Ps are ribonucleoproteins. Lineage: Bacteria; Pseudomonadati; Bacteroidota; Bacteroidia; Bacteroidales; Prevotellaceae. The record is from RNAcentral.